GACGAACGCUGGCGGCGUGCUUAACACAUGCAAGUCGAACGAGAGGACAAGAGAAGCUUGCUUCUUUUGGAAUCGAGUGGCAAACGGGUGAGUAACACGUAAACAACCUGCCUUCAGGAUGGGGACAACAGACGGAAACGACUGCUAAUACCGAAUACGCUUGGGAGACCGCAUGAUCUUCCAAGGAAAGGGUGGCCUCUACUUGUAAGCUAUCGCCUGAAGAGGGGUUUGCGUCUGAUUAGGCAGUUGGUGAGGUAACGGCCCACCAAACCUACGAUCAGUAGCCGGUCUGAGAGGAUGAACGGCCACACUGGAACUGAGACACGGUCCAGACUCCUACGGGAGGCAGCAGUGGGGAAUCUUCCGCAAUGGGCGAAAGCCUGACGGAGCAACGCCGCGUGAGUGAUGACGGCCUCGGGUUGUAAAGCGUCUGUGAUCGGGGACGAACGGUCCGUAAGCGUAAUACCUUAUGGAAGUGA
Molecule: ribosomal RNA, 479 nt
Filed under: uncultured bacterium
Lineage: Bacteria
Description: bacterial SSU rRNA
Rfam family: Bacterial small subunit ribosomal RNA
Source: RNAcentral